AUGCUCCUGGACGAGAGCUGUGCAGAGGCCCAGGAUGGAGAGCUGGACGGGCUAUGGACCACCAUCUCCAUCUUCAUCACCCUCUUCCUGCUCAGCGUGUGCUACAGUGCCACGGUCACCCUUUUCAAGGAUAACCAGGUAGACAGCAGGUUCUGCCCCCAGUCUGAGCUGAUGGACACCUGCUGGCUUCUGCAUGGCAGUCCCCAGGACAUCGCCAGGGGCCAUGUGGACACCAAGAGCAUCAGUGUGGGGUAUUCCCAUCCCAGGAUGGCUCUGCCUGGGGUCAGCACCCAAGUCUACCUGGAGGAGGUGGGGGCCCUGUAUUCCUGGAGCCCAUUGGUUUCCAGGCAGCAUCCGUCCAUCUUCCCGUUAGUCCCCUGCCACAGCAGCAUCAGCAUGGGGGACACCUCUGUGACGCUCGGCUGCCUGAUCAAGGACUACAUCCCAGAGCCUGUGAAUGUGACCUGGGAUGCAGGGUCCCUGGAACAUAGUGUCAUGACCCUUCCUGGCACCUUAGACUCGACCACAGGCCUCUAUACCACCAUCAGCCAGACAACCACCUCAGGCGAGUGGGCCACACAGAAGUUCAUCUGCAGUGUGGAGCAUGACGGCGCUGCUGUGGAAAAGACCAUAAGUGUUAGGAAAGUGUGUGCCACCAACGUCACGCAGCCCACUGUGAAGCUGUACCACUCUUCCUGCAACCCCAGUGGCAAUACCCAGGCCACCAUCCAGCUUCUGUGCCUCAUCUCCGACUUCACUCCAGGUGACAUCAAGGUCACCUGGCUGGUGGAUGGACACAUGGACAAGAGCAUGUUCCCAUACACCAGCACCCCAAAACAGGAGGGCAACCUGUCCUCCAUCUUCAGCCAGCUAAACAUCACCCAGGGUGAAUGGGUAUCUCAAAAAACCUACACCUGCCAGGUCUACUAUCAAGGCUGCAAAUUUGAGAAGCAUGCCCGCAACUGCCCAGAAUCUGAGCCCCGAGGUGUGAGCGUCUACCUGAUCCCGCCCAGCCCCCUUGACCUGUACCUUCACAAGUCACCCAAGAUCACCUGCCUGGUGGUGGACCUGGCCAGCAUCGACAGUGUGACCCUGCAGUGGUUCCGGGAGAGCAGGGGCCUCGUGAAAGACACCAUGUGGAACAGCAAGCUCCAAUUCAACAUGACCUACACCGUCACGUCCACCCUGCCAGUGGAGGCCAAUGACUGGAUUGAGGGCGAGACCUAUGAGUGUAGACUGACCCACCCGCACCUGCCCAGGGAAAUUGUGCGCACCAUCUCCAAGGGCAAUGGCAAGCGUGUUGUCCCUGAGGUCUAUGUGUUCCUGCCACCUGAGGAGGAGCAGGGGACCAAGGACACGCUCACCCUCACCUGCCUGAUCCAGAACUUCUUCCCUGCGGAUAUCUCUGUGCAGUGGCUGUGCAACAACUCCCUGAUUCCAACCAACCAGCAAGCCACCACAUGGCCCCUCAAGGUCAACAGCUCCAGCCGCACCUUCUUUAUCUUCAGCCGCCUGGAGGUCAGCCGGGCAGACUGGGAGAAGAGGAGCCAGUUUACAUGCCAAGUGGUCCACGAGGCUCUGUCAGGCUCCAGGACCCUGGAGAAAUCAGUGUCCAGAGGCCCUGGUAAUUGAUGCCAAUUCCUCCUGCCCCUCCCAAGGCUCCAUCCAUCCUGCUGGGACUGGGAGGAUGCUGGCCAGCUCUUCUGCUCAGUGUUGUCAAUAAACACUC
This is a non-coding RNA of Artibeus jamaicensis (Jamaican fruit-eating bat), 1729 nucleotides long. NCBI's taxonomy places the organism in Eukaryota, Metazoa, Chordata, Mammalia, Chiroptera, Phyllostomidae. The record is from the annotation of a RefSeq genome assembly.